UAGGGAAUAUUAGUAAUGGGCGAAAGCCUGAACUAGCAACACCGCGUGUGCGAAGAAGGCCUUCGGGUUGUAAAGCACUUUUUGAGAGGAUGAGGAAGGACGGUACUCUUAGAAUAAGCCUCGGCUAACUACGUGCCAGCAGCCGCGGUAAAACGUAGGAGGCGAGCGUUAUCCGGAUUUACUGGGCGUAAAGCGUGUGUAGGCGGUUUGAUAAGUUGGAUGUGAAAGCUCCUGGCUUAACUGGGAGAGGUCGUUCAAAACUAUCAGACUUGAGAGUGGUAGAGGGAGGUGGAAUUCCGCAUGUAGUGGUGAAAUGCGUAGAUAUGCGGAGGAACACCAGUGGCGAAAGCGGCCUCCUGGCCCAUUUCUGACGCUCAGACACGAAAGCUAAGGUAGCAAACG
RNAcentral lists this ribosomal RNA (402 nucleotides) under uncultured prokaryote. RNAcentral describes it as "bacterial SSU rRNA". It matches the Rfam family "Bacterial small subunit ribosomal RNA", at positions 355 to 774 of the family's 1533-position model. The record is from RNAcentral.